This 769-nucleotide ribosomal RNA is filed under the name uncultured Pseudoalteromonadaceae bacterium. RNAcentral describes it as "bacterial SSU rRNA". It matches the Rfam family "Bacterial small subunit ribosomal RNA", at positions 28 to 776 of the family's 1533-position model. The record is from RNAcentral. Lineage: Bacteria; Pseudomonadati; Pseudomonadota; Gammaproteobacteria; Alteromonadales; Pseudoalteromonadaceae.
AUUGAACGCUGGCGGCAGGCCUAACACAUGCAAGUCGAGCGGAAACGAGUUAUCUGAACCUUCGGGGAAUGAUAACGGCGUCGAGCGGCGGACGGGUGAGUAAUGCCUAGGAAAUUGCCCUGAUGUGGGGGAUAACCAUUGGAAACGAUGGCUAAUACCGCAUGAUGCCUACGGGCCAAAGAGGGGGACCUUCGGGCCUCUCGCGUCAGGAUAUGCCUAGGUGGGAUUAGCUAGUUGGUGAGGUAAGGGCUCACCAAGGCAACGAUCCCUAGCUGGUCUGAGAGGAUGACCAGCCACACCGGAACUGAGACACGGUCCAGACUCCUACGGGAGGCAGCAGUGGGGAAUAUUGCACAAUGGGCGCAAGCCUGAUGCAGCCAUGCCGCGUGUAUGAAGAAGGCCUUCGGGUUGUAAAGUACUUUCAGCAGUGAGGAAGGCGGGUACGUUAAUAGCGUGCUCGUUUGACGUUAGCUGCAGAAGAAGCACCGGCUAACUCCGUGCCAGCAGCCGCGGUAAUACGGAGGGUGCGAGCGUUAAUCGGAAUUACUGGGCGUAAAGCGCAUGCAGGUGGUUUGUUAAGUCAGAUGUGAAAGCCCGGGGCUCAACCUCGGAAUAGCAUUUGAAACUGGCAGACUAGAGUACUGUAGAGGGGGGUAGAAUUUCAGGUGUAGCGGUGAAAUGCGUAGAGAUCUGAAGGAAUACCGGUGGCGAAGGCGGCCCCCUGGACAGAUACUGACACUCAGAUGCGAAAGCGUGGGGAGCAAACAGG